UACGGGGGGGGCUAGCGUUGUUCGGAAUUACUGGGCGUAAAGGGCUCGUAGGUGGCCAACUCAGUCGGACGUGAAAUCCCUCGGCUUAACCGAGGAACUGCGUCCGAUACUAGUUGGCUGAAAUCCGGGAGAGGGAUGCGGAAUUCCAGGUGUAGCGGUGAAAUGCGUAGAGAUUAGGAAGAACACCAGUGGCGAAGGCGACUUACUGGACCGUAACUGACGCUGAGGCAUGAAAGCGUGGGGAGCAAAC
This 250-nucleotide ribosomal RNA is filed under the name uncultured bacterium. RNAcentral describes it as "partial 16S ribosomal RNA". It matches the Rfam family "Bacterial small subunit ribosomal RNA", at positions 524 to 773 of the family's 1533-position model. The record is from RNAcentral.